GCUAUAGUAGUGUAAUGGUUAGCAUAUUAGACUGUGGAUCUGAUGGUGCGGGUUCAAUUCCCGCCUAUGGCC
Molecule: transfer RNA, 72 nt
Filed under: archaeon
Lineage: Archaea
Description: tRNA-His
Rfam family: tRNA
About the family: Transfer RNA (tRNA) molecules are approximately 80 nucleotides in length. Their secondary structure includes four short double-helical elements and three loops (D, anti-codon, and T loops).
Source: RNAcentral